UGAGCCACCCAGGUGCCCCCAAGAUCAGUGUUGUUUUUGUUAUGACUUUUGAUUUUCAACUUUAAAAAAUUUAGAAAAUGGAAGCUGGACCACUAGUCCCCGGCAUCCUUCUGAGGAAGAGGGGAGAGGAGCAGGGGCAGGGUGUCAUCAGAGCGGGGCGUGAUCUGAGAGCACUGUGACGAUAGAGCCCCCACUGGUCCUGCUGCCCCUUCCUGCACUGAGGGCUCAGCUGGCUCCUCGAAGGGCCACAGGGGCACCCAGGGACCCCCCCCCGCUGAGAUGGAGCCUAGUCACUGUUGUGCUGCUUUUAGCCCCAAGGGAGGUCACCACUGCUGGGGUCUUUGUCUCAAGGGCCUGGCUUCUGCCCUGUAGACAGACGUGCAUACACCUGGCUCCUUUUCUUCUCAUUCAGGGGAGGAUAGGAGAGGCAGACCCCUCGGAAUCUGGGUGUGGCAGGGGCCACCCUCACCCCCUGCCGGGCAGGUGCUCUAGCAAUGCUGGUCCCCAUAGUAGAGGGACCUGAGACAUCAUCCCUUCCAUCUCCCAGUAUCUCGACCAGAGGAGGCUCUGGUUGCCCACCUCUGCAUCUCUCUGCCAUUUCCAUUGCCACUGCCAUCCCCAGGACCUGCCUGCCCUCUCCAGUCAAGCUCUCGGGCUUUGCUCAUCUCCCUAGAAGCCCCCUCCCAACACCAUCUGGGACACAGACAUCCCAAGCCUCCCUCUGUGACAGAAACCUUUGAGCAGUAUAGUUCUGAGACGUUCUUUGGGGAGGACCUCAUACAGCUCAGAUACCCUGGUAAUUUGGAAAAGAGUUGCUGAGUGCCACACAGCUCAGCCAGAAUUAACAUGCAUUUUGCCAAAAGAACAGAGUUGCCCCUCAUGUCUUCAUCCACUGCUGGGCUAGGUGCUGUCCUGGGAUUCUGAAGGGCACUGGGAAGGAAGGCAGCAGGGCAGCAAGGGCACCCCCGUUCGCUUCUGGGGGUUCUGAUUGGCUCUCAUGGAGCCAGAGUUCCUUGGUUUGCUGGCAGAGCUUCUGACGGUGGUGGCCACUGGGCAGUGCUGUGCUUAGUGGUCUCAGUGUUGGCAGUCACAGGGCAUGGCUGUGUGUGCCAUGUACAUGCUAGCCCAGCGAUUCUGCAAGGGAGCACAUAUUCUCACUGCUUUCCAGUUGAAACAGGCCCAGGGGGGCAGAGUGGGCUUUGGAUAAACAGCCAAAAUGGGGCCGGCCUGGGUCCCUUCUUUGCACCAAUCAUGACUGUCUCAACAGUCCGUGUUCCCUAGCUCCUUGGCUUGCUGUCCCCUGGGUGUCUUGGGAGCAGGCAUGGAUGGUAGGUGUAUCCCAGAGGCGUGUCAGCCCUGCAACAGGGCCCAUUCCUACCUAUACCAGGUUUGCCCUGUCUUCCUGAGGUUCAGAGGAUGCAGGGAGCUCUAGAAUGUUCCACUGGUCCAAGGGGCAAAUGCCCAGGCGGGCCCUGCUCCUUCUAGGGGCCCCUUCCUCUCAGCCUGCCAGUCGCUGCUGGAAGAGGCCGGCAUUCAACAGUCGCGCCUUGUCUCCUGAGACCUCUGUCUUCGCUCCACCCCAGGAUCAGCCUGGGACGGACCACGGUUUUAAUUAGCCUCGUUUGGGGAUGGCGGCUUGGAAGCCCUGGGAGGUGAAUGCGGCCCGCCUUGCUUUUGGAAUCCGCUGCCAGUGGACACAAUGUAGCUGUAGCAAUGAAAACGAGGGAGAGAAUGGCCCACAGGCUGGGCUUUUUAAUUGGCACCGUCCUCCCGGCCCUGCGCCCGCCUGCUGGCCCUCCUGGGGCUCUGUUUGGGCGGCCAGACCUGGGCCGCGAGCGGUGGAGCCUUUCAGAGCAUCAGACUGAUUUAAGUGGCCCCGUAUAGAUGCCCGCAGCCCUCGCUGAAAGGCGCGGCUCGGUCCCCUCGUGGAGGAGCCCUGGGAAUGUGUCCGCCACCUGCGUGUGGUGAAUGGCAGUAACCGCCCGGAGCCCCGCCGGGCAGCCUGGGCUUCAAUGGGCCCUGGGCCCUGUCCGAGAGAAAAGGUUUUUCUAAAGCUGCAAUUAAUUUCUUUCCCCCAAUCAAUUGAAGGUUGCUUUCUUGUUUUCAGGCGGGUGAGCGGGACGCGUGAUUCUCUGCUUCCCCGCUAACCUGGGCGCCGACAAUUGACGUCCGUCUCAAGAGACAGAGAGUGGCUUUAUUUCUCACCGUCUAUGGAGGACGGGACUUUUUUGUUUGUGUUGUGUGUGUGUGUGUGUCCCUCUCUUUUUCUUUCUCUAAGAUCAUCUCAAGCUAAUAGUGAGAAAAAAGGCAUGUGAGCGAUUCUGCCCAGGCAGGUCCCACAAUACCUUCUGGAACGUCCAUUUUUCUUGCUUUCAUGGGAACACUAUGAGGUCUCUCUUGGAGGGGACAAUGGCAAGAUUAAAGAGGGAGGGAGCGUGAGGGAAAGCGGGAAAUAGAAAGGCUGUUCAGCCGGACCGCUGGAGAGCUUUAUGCCGCAAUUUAAAGGGGUUUAUCCUGGACGCCCCCGACCCUGCCAGCAUGAUUGGCGGAAACCUCUUGGUUUCUACUUAGUUUUGCAGUGAGAACCAGUGUUAAGUGCAAAAGAGAGAAAAGGCCACCCUUUCUUUCAGGAGUCACUCUUGUGUUUCUGCAAACAUAACUGUGAGGGUACAUAUGUCCGGGUUGGGUACUGACCCACAGGAUCUCAGGUUCCUUGUUCACAUGGGGACACUGCUGGCAGGAUGUCAGCCUGGCUGCUGUUGUGCCCAAGCCGGAUGCCUCUAAGCCAGCCUGAGCACCGUCUGUCUCUUAGGCCGUCAGGAUGCCCCCCCCAGGCCGGUCCUCCUAUGGAGGGGAGGUGCCAGACUUGAGAAGUGGACUCCGGGACUGUCUGGGCCUUGCCAGGCGGCGUGACUGUCACGGCAAAAUCCCUCCGGCCCCUCUGCCCCGACCUUGGAGCUGGCCUGCUCUGGCCACGGCCUCCAGGAGAGGUUUUGGCGAGAGGGGAAGGUCUGUCGCUGUGGGUUUGUCCAUGGGCGUGGCUCAGCUUUCGCCCCCUCUUGUCUGGGGCCCCAGCCUCGUUAGGAUCCCUGACCUGCUUGCUGGGCUGACUGCUGCUAAGCCUCGGCACAGUCGGUAUGUGCCGCCCCGUGCCCCGAGCCCAGAGACAUGACCACUGGCUGCAACUGCAGUGACCUGCCGCUUAGGGCCCCCCAGACUCACUGUCCCCUGAGGCUCACGGGGUGCUGUGUGCGCACGCCGUUUCAUUCAGAUGGAGAAGGGCCAGUCUUGCUCACUGACCUUAAAGGCUCCUCAGCUUCCUCAUCCCAAAGUGGAGGCUGAACUUUGCCUCCUGGGGGGCUCCGCCUGGGGGUCCUAGGGGAGCAAGUGAAGCCAUGGGCACGGAGUCUCUGCUGCCUCUACUUAGCAGGUGCACAGUUGAAGGGAGCAUGUCAGCAGUUGGUUUUCUUAAGACCCAUCUACGUCCGUGCUUGGAAGACGGAGGGUGGAAGGAGGCCCAGUGGCAGGGACCUCUCUUGGGGUUGGGUCAGCCUCUGUCUGCUUUUGUUCUAGGCUGUGGUGGCAGCUCCUGCGGGGAUCUGAGAACCUUAUCGCUCGAGGCCCCCGUGGCUCCGGGCUCCCCAUUCCAGGAGAACGCGGGCCUCUGCCCAUGAUACACAGUGUGGUUGCCCCUUUUGUGGCAAGCCACUUGCAGAUGGAAAGUGAGGGACUUCCCCCUGGGUUCUGUGCUUUUUCCAAAGUGUUACACAUUUUUAUUUUUGCAAGAGAGAAGUAGGCUCAUUUCCUGACUUGGGCUCAGCCAGUGUUGGUGUGAGGCCAGAGGCUGGGGCCCCAGGCCUGGAAGCUGGUGGUCCGGUGGUGGGCACGUCCUGUGUCCCACUGCAGCUCACCUCACCCUUCUGCACCAGGAGGGCCACUGGGGGUCAGAGUCAAACGGACCGUGUCAUCAUCAGUGUAGGAAUUACAGCAUCUUGAAGCAAUUACAAGAUGGCGGUGCUGUGUGCGUGCGCGCAUGCAUGUGUGUGUGUGUGUGAGUGUGUGUGAGUGUGAGAGGGCGACAGAUGCAUGCACACAUGCAUAUGCACGCAUUUAUAUCUAAGGGAGAGAAGGGAGCGAGGGGAGGGCCGAGGGCCGACCUGGAGCCCCCAGCAGGAAGCCUGGGAUUCUGUGCGCAUGGAGGAUGUUGUGAGGACGCUCGGCUGCUUCCUUUUGUUUUGUCUUGCUGGUUCGCUGCCUCCUUGCACUUUCAGCCGUUUCGCCCUGACACAUCAUUCAUCACCUGGGGGAGGGCUCCAGAGGAAAGUAAUAUACUCACGGCCUUUGCCCUUUCCUCCCAUCUGGCCGAGGGCCUGGCCCCGCGUGGGGUCAGCCUGGGCACACCCUCCCGCCAGCCUCUUGCCUGGCUGCCACCUCGCUGGUGUCCUGGAUCAGAGAGGCCCUGUCCUCCUUACAGCACCUGGGCACCCGGCCUUACAGGCAGACCGCCGGGGUUCGGGUCCUCCCCAGUUGCUCCCCGGGUGGCUUGGACCCUCCGACACCAGUGGCACAGCGGCCCCUGCGCUGGGGUGGCUGUGAGGGUUCAGAGGACAGUCCCUGUGAAGACACUCGCCAUCAGUACUCAGUAAACAUUAGCCCUGCUGUCAUCGGAGGCUCCGCAGCUGUUAGGACACAAGAAUGAGCCCCCAGAAAUGCUGACUUUGUUCCCGAGCAAGAUAAGAUUCUAGGGGAUGACGGGCGGAAUUGACGAUCGCUCAGCCUUGUGAGUCUGUUUUCUGUACAUGAAGAAAGUCUGGACUUGAGAGUGGUUUAGGGCAGCUCCCAGCCCUGCACAUUCCCCAGGAGCUGUUUGGGAGCCCUUGUCCCUUUGGAAUAUCAGUACCAGGUGAGGAUUGCUGGUGGCUCUAGGUGGAUAGAAAUCAGGUUGGGUUUCUCUUCUGAAUUUCUAUGGCAUGAUGGGUAAGGGCACAGGCCUUGACCAGACAGAGCUGGGUUGAGCCUGGCCCAGCCACUGCCCCCUCUAUUAGAGUUUGUGGAAUCAGCCUUGGGCUGUCCAGGCAUACACGGGGCUGCCGGCAGAUUCUGUCCCUUGGUUGUGGGGGUGGGGUGUGCCUGGGCAUCCACCUCAGGUAGAUUAGCUCGGAGGGUGAGGGCUUCUUGGGCCUUCUAGGAGCCUCUUGAGAUGUGGGUGCUGUGUUUGUGUAUCCUGCCAAACAUUUAAACAGUAACGAACAAAGGAGAAAAAAUAGAAAGGGAAAAAAUAAGCCUAUCAGGAAAUUAACAGUUAUGCCGAGGUGUGUCCCUGAGAAAGUCAAAGGGACGGAGACCCGCCCUGGCCAGCGCUUCCGGAGUCUGUGGUCAGGCCUCCCAGUGGGAACUACAUUCUUUUGGCACAGGGAUGCCUUAAUGGGGCCAUCCACACAAGGUCAGGGUCAUGAUUCCCAUCCUGGCUCUAAGAGUGGAAAUGACUCGUCCAGAGUCCCUAAGCUAGAAAACGCAGAUGCUGCCAUCUAUCUGGGGCUCCGCUGGCCAGUGUGGGCCCACGCCGGCCCUUUGCCCAGCAUGCCUGCGAUUCAGCUGUCACCGUGAGUCCGGUGGGUGAAAGGCUCUCCCGCCGCUGCUUCCUCCUGGCGCCUCCAUCCUGGCACAGCUGGGCACCAUGAAGGGCUGUCGAAUCCCACGGAGUCGGCCCACACGUGAUCUGAUGUUAUCGCCAUCACGGCCCCACGAGAGCAGUUUUAGUUCCCCAUUUUACAGACAGGGAAGGCGAAGCUUAAGUUGCAUAAGGAACUGAGGGAGACCUGGCCUGGCGGCAGGGGCAGGGCUCCCCUGCAGCUUGUGGCCGCUUCAGCCUUGUGCCCGGGAGCCCAGCCCGUCCCUACAGAGCCUGUUGGUCAGCCCGUGGGUGUGGGCCUGGGGGCUCCAGGACGGCGUGCGGGAGGCCGGGGAGGGUGUUGUGGCUGGGCUCCAAGGGGGAGAAGGAGGUUUGUGAACAGGGUGAUCCUGGCUGGGGGAAGGUAGCCCCAGAGGGAGCUGAGGGGGCAGGGGGGCCGCGGGCAAGGUGGGAACAGGGCUGCUGGGGCUGCUGCAUUGAGGUGUUUGCUCUUCGCAGAGACUCGAGGAGGAAAGUCCUGGGUCAGGUUUGAGCCCCGAUGAGCUGAGAGGCCCCUGAGGACAUUCACGGGACCCCCUAGGUCUGGAGCUUAGAACAAGGUCUGGCCUCAGAGCGGCCGUCUGCGGCCGCUGGGGCCGAGGAAGAGUUCUGAUUUGGAUUUGGGGCCAGGCCUUGAGUCGUGUCAAACCUGCUUGGGCACAGCGGCCUCCCAGGGCAGAGCGGGGACACCCUGGGCUCAGGCAGAGUGACUCUGUCAUUGCAGAGAUGGGCCCAGAGCCGGCAGGACUUCCCAGGGCACACCCAGCGAGUGGCAGCCUGGAGUCCAAGGCCAGGUGCCUGUGACCCCACCAGGGGCGUCUUGGGUUACACUGUCCUCGGAGGAUGCUUGUUGCCUUCUGCAGCCUGCUGGUAGGCCGAGCCAGCAGGGGCGACCCUUGGGACGCACCCGUUCCCAGAACGGAGGGCAGAUGGAGGCCCAGAGCAGGGCGGGUUUGCCCGAGGCCCUCCUGAGCGGUGCCUGGACGUCGUGUCUGAUGCCCCUUCCUCGGACUGUUCUCCUGCCUGCAGCGCCUUCCUGGGGAGCCGUCGCCCUUGGACUCCUACCCUUUGACCGAGUCACAGAUCUGGGAGGGGGCCCAGGUCGUCUGCCACAGGCAGCUUUGUGGUCAGUGAGGGGCUCCUCUGGGUUUAGGGAAGGAGCCCAACUUCGUGCUGCGAAAGUGAGGGCAGCUUGACAUUUUGUGCACGUCCUCUGGGGCCUCUUCUCAGAGGAGUUUGGCAGAGCAGGGGACCCCUUCUUCGGGGCUCCAGGACAUCCCUGCUCCCCAGGCUUGCCCUCUCACUCUGGCUACAUCGACAAGCACCGAGUGGUGGGAGAGCUGGUGCUGUCUGUGACCAGUCGGGAUGCUGGCUCCUGGGAGCGAGCAGGGGUGUAGGUACCCCCUGGGAAGCCAGGCUCAUCCCAAGAUGGGGAGCCCUUGUCAGCUGAAAGGGGCAGCCCGUGAGAGCUUCUCGACGUCGCUUCUGUAGUUUUCCACGUGAUAAAUCGGUGGUUGUGUUCCUGCAACGUUUGCUUACCUUCAUGGUUCACAUUUUAUUGCCAGGGAGGAAAGAAGCCGUCUCCCUACCCAGCUGACAGAAGUGUGGCUGAAUUUGACACUUGGAACUUCGUCUCUGCUUCUCCUCUCUCUGUCAGAUGUAGAAAUACGACGACGGCAGGUGGAAGCGGGGGCUCUGGGCCGCACAGCACGAUCCUGGACGCCAGGCCCAAAUGUCUGUCUCUGGCGUGUGUCCUAGAGUCCCCUCCCGUGGGCGCCGGGGCUGGAGUGUGGCAGGCUUGAGGGGCUGUGCCUCCCCAUCCCCUUCUGGCAAACUCGCAGCCUCCUCGUAGCGCCUCCCGCUGGCAGGGCCUGGCAGCUGCUCCGAGCGGCUGACACCCACCAAACUGCACGGGGGACGGCGGCGUCGCGUGGGAGAGCAGGGGUUCGGGGCACCAAGCAGCCCCCCAGCCCCACCUUGGGUUUGCCCACGAAGCCUGGCCCUGCUCCCCUGUGGAGCCGGAAGCCCCAAACCAGCUUCUGCCCGGCGGGCAGGGAGCCACGCGAGCCUUUGCGGCAGCGAGAUGUUUUCCAGGGAUGCCCCGGCCCCGCCAGCUAUGUUCUGUGAAGGCGCCCACCAGCCGCGUGAGCACGCCCGCUCGCCCGCCGCCCACACGCAGAUGUCUGGCACAUGUGUGGUCCGCUCGCCCGUUCGGGGCUGGUGCUUCUUGGUGUUUUCACAUCCCAUGCUUGUAUGAACCUCAGAUUUAAUUUAGUGAUUAUUAAGUGCAGGCACUCGGGGCUGGUAGGGGCUUUUCUUUCCUGCCCAGUUCUGCAAAGUUCCAUUUUCAGAAAUGCACAAGCCUAGUUCCUGCCAAUAAGAAGGAAAGUAAAAAAGAACUUUGAUGGAGAAACAUCAAAAUGAUUUAAUAUGGAGAUGGGGGGGCCUCCUUUUUUUUGAAAAUGGAAGUGACCAUUUGAAUAAGAUUUGGGCCUGUGGGUCAUCCUUCUCUGAAUUUCUAACUCAGUGUGUAUUCUCCUCUUAAAAUUAACAUACACAUACAUAUAUAUCUUGUUUUUUGAUAGUACCUUAAUGUGUUCAAAAAUUAAUAGUGGAGAGUCUUGCCUUCAGGUUAACUGCUACUUUGUUUCUUGUGAUCCUUCUAGAAAUCCUUUAUGCAAAUAGAAGCAGAUGAUAAUUUCCCUUUUUUUUUCCUCUCUCUUACACAAAAGAUAACCUGCUUUAUCUACUCUUCUGCACUUUGCUGUCUUAAAAUGAUAGACCCGGGAGGUGUUUUGGUGUCAGAGCCAAGCUGCAGGAUGUCCUGUCCUGUGACUAUGGCCCGUCUUUCCCAGGCCACCCUCCCGGGCCCUCGAGCCAGUGCAGGCAUGCUCAGCAGUGAGCUCCAGAGCUCCUGUGUCCUCUCAGACAUGGCACGUGGGUCCUCCUGGAGAUGCAGUCCACCAGGAGGGCCGCACGGCCACGGGUGGCAUGUGUGUGUCACCUUGAGGGUGUGGCCCCAGUGACGUUGUAGGAGCCACGCACCCUGAUGGUUUCUGCAGGUGGCCCGUGUCCCCACUGACACACACUGGCCACAUGUGAGUUUUGCCAAGUGAUGAGUGACACAUGGUCUCUCCGUGUCAUCUUAGUUUGCCUUUCCGUUAGCAGUCAAGCCUCUGUUCUUUGUCUCUCUGAAAGCUGUUCAGGUGUCCUGAGCUGGGUUCAUUUAUCU
This is a long non-coding RNA of Lutra lutra (Eurasian river otter), 8903 nucleotides long. RefSeq lists it as uncharacterized. The record is from RefSeq and is a predicted model, not a curated record. The transcript has 2 exons. NCBI's taxonomy places the organism in Eukaryota, Metazoa, Chordata, Mammalia, Carnivora, Mustelidae.